UGGAUCCAGACAUUGAUCAUGGCUCAGGACGAACGCUGGCGGCGUGCUUAACACACGCAAGUCGAACGAGAAGAGAUGAGAAGCUUGCUUCUUAUUGAUUCGAGUGGCAAACGGGUGAGUAACGCGUAAGCAACCUGCCCUCUAGAUGGGGACAACAGCUGGAAACGGCUGCUAAUACCGAAUACGUUCUUUCUGUCGCAUGGCAGAGGGAAGAAAGGGAGGCUCUUUGGAGCUUUCGCUGGAGGAGGGGCUUGCGUCUGAUUAGCUAGUUGGAGGGGUAACGGCCCACCAAGGCGACGAUCAGUAGCCGGUCUGAGAGGAUGAACGGCCACAUUGGGACUGAGACACGGCCCAGACUCCUACGGGAGGCAGCAGUGGGGAAUCUUCCGCAAUGGACGAAAGUCUGACGGAGCAACGCCGCGUGAACGAUGACGGCCUUCGGGUUGUAAAGUUCUGUUAUACGGGACGAAUGGUACGACGGUCAAUACCCGUCGUAAGUGACGGUACCGUAAGAGAAAGCCACGGCUAACUACGUGCCAGCAGCCGCGGUAAUACGUAGGUGGCAAGCGUUGUCCGGAAUUAUUGGGCGUAAAGGGCGCGCAGGCGGCGUCGUAAGUCGGUCUUAAAAGUGCGGGGCUUAACCACGUGAGGGGACCGAAACUGCGAUGCUAGAGUAUCGGAGAGGAAAGCGGAAUUCCUAGUGUAGCGGUGAAAUGCGUAGAUAUUAGGAGGAACACCAGUGGCGAAAGCGGCUUUCUGGACGACAACUGACGCUGAGGCGCGAAAGCCAGGGGAGCAAACGGGAUUAGAUACCUCGGUAGUCCUGGCCGUAAACGAUGGAUACUAGGUGUAGGAGGUAUCGACCCCUUCUGUGCCGGAGUUAACGCAAUAAGUAUCCCGCCUGGGGAGUACGGCCGCAAGGCUGCAACUCAAAGGAAUUGACGGA
Molecule: ribosomal RNA, 946 nt
Filed under: uncultured Bacillota bacterium
Lineage: Bacteria; Bacillati; Bacillota
Description: bacterial SSU rRNA
Rfam family: Bacterial small subunit ribosomal RNA
Source: RNAcentral